CAAAAUUAACCUUAGUUUGAUUUUAACGAAAAAUUGAAUUCUUAGGGUUCGUUGAUAUGCUGAAUCUGACCAUGUACUUAGAUUUUUUAUUAUGGGCCCGGUUUUCAAGUUGGUCCAAAUCUUCAUAAUAUCUUUCAUAGAUGUUUCGUACUAUUGAAAUAAAAUGCUCCGCAGGCGGCAGCUUGAUACGACCGCAAAGGUCGAACCCUGAACAGUUGGGACAAGUAUGGACACAACAGUCAAGCUUGAUACAGCUCUGAAUUUGGAUUGUGAUGAAAUAGUUGACACAGCAUAGGUUUCUGACACAGACUGGAUGUGGUUUAAGAACUUAAAAAAUCAAAUAAAGUUCAAUUUUGGACCCUUUAUACCUCAAUGUGGACCAAUUUGAUAACGGGGCCCAAAUAUCAAAAAUCUAAAUGCAUGGUUAGAUUUAGCAUAUCAAAGAACCCCAUAUAUUCAUUUUUUUGUUGAAAUUAAACAAAGUUUAAUUUUUGACCCUUUGGACCUUAAUGUAGACCAAUUUGAAAACGGGACAAUACUGUGCAUUUGCGGUCGUAUCAAGCUGCCGCCUGCGGAGCAUUUUAUUUAAAUAGUACGAAACAUAUAUGAAAGACUAAACUUGCAACCAGUUAUCCCUCUCGCCCAAACUAUGUGAAUUCAGAUUUUAUCCUACAUUGAUCUCUUGGUGUUGUCCACUUGGUUGCUUCUUGAGUAUUUAUGGUCUCACCACAACUUAUUCAGUAUUUUUUAAACAUGUUAGCUAGCCUUCACAUCAAGCCAAUUGAAUUAUUCUAAUUGCACGUUUUCAAAAAAUCUUCUCAAUUUAGAAACCAUUUGAUAGUUUUAAAAAUCCAAAUUUUAAAAAAAAAUCUUCCAAUGGACCAUCCGUUUCAAGAUAUGUUAAAAUAUGGAGAUGUGGUAUCGUUGUCUAUUCUUUAAAGACUGAAAAACGAGGGUGUAAAUUACUACAGGCCAUACCACAGGGAGUCAACAAUGAGUAAAACCAUACCGUAUAAAGUAGGAGGGCAAAUGAAUAGCACUUAAUACCUUCAGAAUUAUUUCGGAUGAAUCUUGUCUUACAACCAAUAUGGUGAAGGUAAAUCUAAAUGCAAAUUUUCAACAUCAAACAUUCAGUCAUUGAUUGAAUAUUUGGUUUGCAACUUUGAAAAAUGCAAGCCGGUAAGAAAACUUUCCAAACCAAAAACACAGUUUAAAUAACAUCAUUUAAUCGUUUGCAGGUUCAUUAGGUUAUGUAUAUACUCUUAUGCGGUAAAGCUUAGCGAAAGGUAUUGCGACGUAAUCAGUCAAACAAACUUUAUUAGAUUAACUCUUUAAGGAACGAUCGUUUUCAUUGGUCAAUUCAAACCUUCGACCUCACACCUG
This 1383-nucleotide long non-coding RNA is filed under the name Mytilus galloprovincialis (Mediterranean mussel). Lineage: Eukaryota; Metazoa; Mollusca; Bivalvia; Mytilida; Mytilidae. The record is from RNAcentral.